AACGCACGAGACCUGCGGACCUGCGGAGGGAUCAUUAACGAACUGUCAAACGUGGUUGUUGCUGGCCUUCAAACGGAGGCAUGUGCACGCUUCGUUUACAACAUCCACUUCACACCUGUGCACCCUCUGUAGCUCUACGGGUCUGGGGAACCCUGUUCUCCUUCUGUAGCCCUACUUUUUUUUACACACACACUGUAACGAUGUCUUGUGGAAUGCAAUUCUGCGUUUAACGCGAUACAA
This 240-nucleotide unclassified non-coding RNA is filed under the name soil metagenome. RNAcentral's name for it is "partial contains 5.8S ribosomal RNA, internal transcribed spacer 2, and large subunit ribosomal RNA". The record is from RNAcentral.